AAAGGGUCCGUAGGCGGACUCGUAAGUCAGUGGUGAAAUCUCAUAGCUUAACUAUGAAACUGCCAUUGAUACUGCGGGUCUUGAGUAAAGUAGAAGUGGCUGGAAUAAGUAGUGUAGCGGUGAAAUGCAUAGAUAUUACUUAGAACACCAAUUGCGAAGGCAGGUCACUAUGUUUUAACUGACGCUGAUGGACGAAAGCGUGGGGAGCGAACAGGAUUAGAUACCCUAGU
This 230-nucleotide ribosomal RNA is filed under the name uncultured bacterium. RNAcentral's name for it is "partial 16S ribosomal RNA". It matches the Rfam family "Bacterial small subunit ribosomal RNA", at positions 562 to 791 of the family's 1533-position model. The record is from RNAcentral.